This 188-nucleotide ribosomal RNA is filed under the name uncultured bacterium. Its description in RNAcentral is "partial 16S ribosomal RNA". It matches the Rfam family "Bacterial small subunit ribosomal RNA", at positions 338 to 523 of the family's 1533-position model. The record is from RNAcentral.
CCUACGGGAGGCAGCAGUGAGGAAUAUUGGACAAUGGAGGCAACUCUGAUCCAGCCAUGCCGCGUGCAGGAAGACUGCCCUAUGGGUUGUAAACUGCUUUUAUACAGGAAGAAUAGUACCUACGUGUAGGUAUUUGACGGUACUGUACGAAUAAGGAUCGGCUAACUCCGUGCCAGCAGCCGCGGUAA